This 419-nucleotide ribosomal RNA is filed under the name uncultured bacterium. RNAcentral's name for it is "bacterial SSU rRNA". It matches the Rfam family "Bacterial small subunit ribosomal RNA", at positions 650 to 1068 of the family's 1533-position model. The record is from RNAcentral.
AGUAGGGAGACUGGAAUUCCUGGUGUAGCGGUGGAAUGCGCAGAUAUCAGGAGGAACACCGAUGGCGAAGGCAGGUCUCUGGGCUGUAACUGACGCUGAGGAGCGAAAGCAUGGGAGCGAACAGGAUUAGAUACCCUGGUAGUCCAUGCCGUAAACGUUGGGCACUAGGUGUGGGGACCAUUCCACGGUUUCCGCGCCGCAGCUAACGCAUUAAGUGCCCCGCUUGGGGAGUACGCACGCAAGUGUGAAACUCAAAGGAAUUGACGGGGGCCCGCACAAGCGGUGGAGUAUGUGGUUUAAUUCGAUGCAACGCGAAGAACCUUACCAGGACUUGACAUGUCGCGAAUCCAGUGGAAACACAGGAGUGCCUUCGGGAGCGCGAACACAGGUGGUGCAUGGCUGUCGUCAGCUCGUGUCGU